UCCUACGGGAGGCAGCAGUGGGGGAUAUUGCACAAUGGGGGAAACCCUGAUGCAGCGACGCCGCGUGGGCGAAGAAGUAUUUCGGUAUGUAAAGCCCUAUCAGCAGGGAAGAAGAAAUGACGGUACCUGAGUAAGAAGCACCGGCUAAAUACGUGCCAGCAGCCGCGGUAAUACGUAUGGUGCAAGCGUUAUCCGGAUUUACUGGGUGUAAAGGGCGUGUAGCCGGGCUGACAAGUCAGAUGUGAAAUUCCGGGGCUCAACCCCGGACCUGCAUUUGAAACUGUUGGUCUUGAGUAUCGGAGAGG
RNAcentral lists this ribosomal RNA (305 nucleotides) under uncultured bacterium. Its description in RNAcentral is "bacterial SSU rRNA". It matches the Rfam family "Bacterial small subunit ribosomal RNA", at positions 337 to 657 of the family's 1533-position model. The record is from RNAcentral.